This 795-nucleotide ribosomal RNA is filed under the name uncultured bacterium. Its description in RNAcentral is "bacterial SSU rRNA". It matches the Rfam family "Bacterial small subunit ribosomal RNA", at positions 100 to 881 of the family's 1533-position model. The record is from RNAcentral.
GAACGGGUGAGUAACACGUGGGCAACCUGCCCAAAAGAGGGGGAUAACACUUGGAAACAGGUGCUAAUACCGCAUAACCAUAGUUACCGCAUGGUAACUAUGUAAAAGGUGGCUAUGCUACCGCUUUUGGAUGGGCCCGCGGCGCAUUAGCUAGUUGGUGGGGUAAAGGCUUACCAAGGCAAUGAUGCGUAGCCGAACUGAGAGGUUGAUCGGCCACAUUGGGACUGAGACACGGCCCAAACUCCUACGGGAGGCAGCAGUAGGGAAUCUUCCACAAUGGGCGAAAGCCUGAUGGAGCAACGCCGCGUGGGUGAAGAAGGUCUUCGGAUCGUAAAACCCUGUUGUUAGAGAAGAAAGUGCGUGAGAGUAACUGUUCACGUUUCGACGGUAUCUAACCAGAAAGCCACGGCUAACUACGUGCCAGCAGCCGCGGUAAUACGUAGGUGGCAAGCGUUAUCCGGAUUUAUUGGGCGUAAAGGGAACGCAGGCGGUCUUUUAAGUCUGAUGUGAAAGCCUUCGGCUUAACCGGAGUAGUGCAUUGGAAACUGGGAGACUUGAGUGCAGAAGAGGAGAGUGGAACUCCAUGUGUAGCGGUGAAAUGCGUAGAUAUAUGGAAGAACACCAGUGGCGAAAGCGGCUCUCUGGUCUGUAACUGACGCUGAGGUUCGAAAGCGUGGGUAGCAAACAGGAUUAGAUACCCUGGUAGUCCACGCCGUAAACGAUGAAUGCUAAGUGUUGGAGGGUUUCCGCCCUUCAGUGCUGCAGCUAACGCAAUAAGCAUUCCGCCUGGGGAGU